AGAGUUUGAUCAUGGCUCAGAAUCAACGCUGGCGGCGUGCUCCAGACAUGCAAGUCGAACGCGAAAACUUCCUUCGGGAAGUGAGUAGAGUGGCGCACGGGUGAGUAACACGUAAGUAAUCUACCUUUGGGUGGGGAAUAACUCAGGGAAACUUGAGCUAAUACCGCAUAACGCAGCGGCUCCUUAUGGAGACAGUUGUUAAAGUAUUUAUACGCCUAAAGAGGAGCUUGCGGCAGAUUAGCUAGUUGGUAAGGUAAUGGCUUACCAAGGCAACGAUCUGUAGCCGGCCUGAGAGGGCGGUCGGUCACACUGACACUGAAUAACGGGUCAGACUCCUACGGGAGGCAGCAGUCGGGAAUUUUGGGCAAUGGGGGAAACCCUGACCCAGCAACGCCGCGUGAAGGAUGAAGUCCCUCGGGAUGUAAACUUCGUAAAUAUAGGAAGAAUCAAUGACGGUACUAUAUGUAAGCUCCGGCUAACUACGUGCCAGCAGCCGCGGUAAUACGUAGGGGGCAAGCGUUGUUCGGAUUUACUGGGCGUAAAGGGCGCGUAGGCGGCGUGACAAGUCACUUGUGAAAUCUCCGGGCUUAACUCGGAACGGCCAAGUGAAACUGUCAUGCUAGAGUGCAGAAAGGGCAACUGGAAUUCUUGGUGUAGCGGUGAAAUGCGUAGAUAUCAAGAGGAACACCUGAGGCGAAGGC
RNAcentral lists this ribosomal RNA (701 nucleotides) under uncultured bacterium. RNAcentral's name for it is "bacterial SSU rRNA". It matches the Rfam family "Bacterial small subunit ribosomal RNA", at positions 8 to 722 of the family's 1533-position model. The record is from RNAcentral.